AACACCUCAAAUCCUCACUUCUUUUUGGAGAGAGGAAUUGGACUUGAGCAAUCCCAACACUUGCAAGAGUGGCGGGUUGCUUGAAAUGCAGGUGCAGCUGGACUUUCCUCUGAGCUAAAAGCAUAUUUAUUUAAUCCCGUCAAACGGAUUAUUACUUUUGCUGCAGCUAACAUAAAGGAGAAUCGUUCUUGUGCUGACUGAUGCAGGAUUCACAGGUUGCUUCGGCGACUUGUAA
This 235-nucleotide unclassified non-coding RNA is filed under the name uncultured Mortierella. Its description in RNAcentral is "sequence contains ITS2". Lineage: Eukaryota; Fungi; Mortierellomycota; Mortierellomycetes; Mortierellales; Mortierellaceae. The record is from RNAcentral.